GUCGAGCGGACGCCGAAUCCUGCCAGCGCUCGAUGACCACCCACCGACAGCUCAUGGCAGGAGCGGGGGACCCAGGUAAGUCGCCGGGCCGGAGCGCCGUACGUCGUACGCCGCGCCGGAACGGCUCGGGGUGAAGCCGUGCUCCAAGGAGCCGGCCGGGCACCUCCCCGCCCGAACCCGACAGCUCACCUCGCAGGCGACGGAGAGGAAAU
This 212-nucleotide small RNA is filed under the name Streptomyces sp. RNAcentral describes it as "c-di-AMP sequence". The stretch from base 32 to 212 matches the Rfam family "c-di-AMP riboswitch aptamer (ydaO/yuaA leader)". Rfam says of the family: This family represents a conserved RNA structure found upstream of the ydaO and yuaA genes in Bacillus subtilis and related genes in other bacteria. The ydaO/yuaA element is thought to act as a genetic "off" switch for the ydaO and yuaA genes in its native state. It is believed that the element may be triggered during osmotic shock leading to activation of ydaO, a predicted amino acid transporter gene, and members of the yuaA-yubG operon which code for KtrA and KtrB K+ transporters. Lineage: Bacteria; Bacillati; Actinomycetota; Actinomycetes; Kitasatosporales; Streptomycetaceae. The record is from RNAcentral.